UCUCCGUUGGUGAACCAGCGGAGGGAUCAUUACAGCGCAUAGACGUCAACGCCGGGGGCAACCCCGGCGGUCUUGUCCUGCACACCUGUUGUCUUACCGCCUGCCGGGCCGUGUUGCCUCGGCGGGGUGUCUGCCGGCGGUCUCCGCCGGCGGCCGCGCCCCGCCGCAGGUACCGCCCACAAAAACCUCUGUAAUACUAUAUGGAACCUCUGAGAAAGCUUAUAAAUAAGUCAAAACUUUCAACAACGGAUCUCUUGGUUAUGGCAUCGAUGAAGAACGCAGC
Molecule: unclassified non-coding RNA, 283 nt
Filed under: uncultured fungus
Lineage: Eukaryota; Fungi
Description: sequence contains ITS1, 5.8S rRNA gene
Rfam family: 5.8S ribosomal RNA (bases 235-283)
Source: RNAcentral